CAAACGGGUGAGUAACACGUAAACAAACCUGCCUUCAGGAUGGGGACAACAGACGGAAACGACUGCUAAUACCGAAUAAGUUCCAAGAGCCGCAUGGCCCAUGGAAGAAAAGGUGGCCUCUACCUGUAAGCUAUCGCCUGAAGAGGGGUUUGCGUCUGAUUAGCUGGUUGGAGGGGUAACGGGCCCACCAAGGCGACGAUCAGUAACCGGUCUGAGAGGAUGAACGGCCACACUGGAACUAAGACACGGUCCAGACUCCUACGGGAGGCAGCAUG
RNAcentral lists this ribosomal RNA (275 nucleotides) under uncultured bacterium. RNAcentral describes it as "partial 16S ribosomal RNA". It matches the Rfam family "Bacterial small subunit ribosomal RNA", at positions 99 to 353 of the family's 1533-position model. The record is from RNAcentral.